This 254-nucleotide ribosomal RNA is filed under the name Bradyrhizobium sp. LMS64. Its description in RNAcentral is "partial 16S ribosomal RNA". It matches the Rfam family "Bacterial small subunit ribosomal RNA", at positions 54 to 330 of the family's 1533-position model. Lineage: Bacteria; Pseudomonadati; Pseudomonadota; Alphaproteobacteria; Hyphomicrobiales; Nitrobacteraceae. The record is from RNAcentral.
CUUACCAUGCAGUCGAGCGGGCGUAGCAAUACGUCAGCGGCAGACGGGUGAGUAACGCGUGGGAACGUACCUUUUGGUUCGGAACAACACAGGGAAACUUGUGCUAAUACCGGAUAAGCCCUUACGGGGAAAGAUUUAUCGCCGAAAGAUCGGCCCGCGUCUGAUUAGCUAGUUGGUGAGGUAAUGGCUCACCAAGGCGACGAUCAGUAGCUGGUCUGAGAGGAUGAUCAGCCACAUUGGGACUGAGACACGGC